RNAcentral lists this ribosomal RNA (635 nucleotides) under uncultured archaeon. RNAcentral describes it as "bacterial SSU rRNA". It matches the Rfam family "Archaeal small subunit ribosomal RNA", at positions 77 to 717 of the family's 1478-position model. The record is from RNAcentral.
UCGCCCUUACUGCUCAGUAACACGUGGACAAUCUGCCCUAAAGAAGAGAAUAAUCCCGGGAAACUGGGGGUAAUGCUCUAUAGUCCGGAAUGACUGGAAUGUUUUCCGGAUGAAAGGUCCGCCGCUUUAGGAUGAGUCUGCGGCCGAUUAGGUAGUUGUUGGGGUAAAAGCCCAACAAGCCCGUAAUCGGUACGGGUUGUGGGAGCAAGAGCCCGGAGAUGGAUUCUGAGACACGAAUCCAGGCCCUACGGGGCGCAGCAGGCGCGAAAACUUUACAAUGCGGGCAACCGUGAUAAGGAAACCCCGAGUGCCAGCACAGGCUGGCUGUCCACCAGUGUAAAAAACUGGUGAAGAAAGGGCCGGGCAAGACCGGUGCCAGCCGCCGCGGUAAUACCGGCGGCUCGAGUGGUGGCCGCUUUUACUGGGCUUAAAGGGUCCGUAGCUGGAUUCACAAGUCCCUUGAGAAAUCUAUCGGCUUAACUGAUAGGCGUUCAGGGGAUACUGUGGUUCUAGGGACCGGGAGAGGUGAGAGGUACUGCCGGGGUAGGAGUGAAAUCCUGUAAUCCCGGUGGGACGACCUAUGGCGAAGGCAUCUCACCAGAACGGCUCCGACAGUGAGGGACGAAAGCUGGGGG